GUCCACGCCGUAAACGAUGGAUGCUAGCCGUCGGCAAGCUUGCUUGUCGGUGGCGCAGCUAACGCAUUAAGCAUCCCGCCUGGGAGUACGGCCGCAAGGUUAAACUCAAAGGAAUUGACGGGGCCCGCACAAGCGGUGGAGCAUGUGGUUAAUUCGACGCAACGCGAAGAACCUUACCAAGCCUUGACAUGUCCGGUCGGUUUCCAGAAAAUGGAUUCCUCCUAGCAAUAGGUCGGAACACAGGUGCUGCAUGGCUGUCGU
Molecule: ribosomal RNA, 261 nt
Filed under: uncultured bacterium
Lineage: Bacteria
Description: partial 16S ribosomal RNA
Rfam family: Bacterial small subunit ribosomal RNA
Source: RNAcentral